GGCGGCCAUUGAGUUUGCAAGGUGCUACAGGGUUCACUACUGGACAUUGUUCAGAAGGGCGACAGAGUUUGCAAAGUGCUACAAGUUUCACUGGACAUCGUUUAGAAGGAUGACAGAGUUUACAGAGGUGCAGCAGGAUUCACUUGACAUUGUCUAGAAGGAUGAACUAGUUUGAAAAUAUGUUUUAUGGUUCACUUGAUAUAUUCCAGAAGGAGGUGAUAGUUUCAAAGGUCUGACAUGGUUCACUGAUCAUUCGAUUCACAAUGAGGGCAGUGUUUUUUGUUUUGCUUCACUGAAGAUGGUCAAAAAGGAAAAAAAAAGUACAAUUAACAAAUUGCUGGAUGAUUAGACCCAGUAGAUGAUUUUAAUGUAAAGGUCUUUACCAAACUAACGGUCAAUUAGUUUUUACAAGCAGGGUAAAUUUCGACAGCAUUAUGUUCAGAUGCUGCAUAAUCCUGUUAAGUACAUCAAGCCCACAUGUAGAAAGUAACAUCUUGAGCUGUUGGUUAAAUUUACUAAGAACAAAGGUUCCUACAUUUGUUUUAAUAACAGACCACUGUUGCUUCUCAUUUUCUUCCGGGUUCAUUAUUGUCAUAGAUUUUGUUUUCACAUGUUCUGAAUUUAUCUCAAUUUUAGUAAUUACAUGUAAGAAAAGUAAAACAAAAAUCA
This 669-nucleotide long non-coding RNA is filed under the name Mytilus galloprovincialis (Mediterranean mussel). The record is from RNAcentral. Lineage: Eukaryota; Metazoa; Mollusca; Bivalvia; Mytilida; Mytilidae.